Non-coding RNA from Paramuricea clavata, 82 nucleotides. NCBI's taxonomy places the organism in Eukaryota, Metazoa, Cnidaria, Anthozoa, Malacalcyonacea, Plexauridae. The record is from the annotation of a GenBank genome assembly.
UACAACUGUUCAUCUCGUAUUUAUAUUAGUUGCAGUUAACAUGUUAACUGCAACUAAUAUAAAUACGAGAUGAACAGUUGUA